GAUGAACGCUGGCGGCAUGCUUUACACAUGCAAGUCGAACGGUAACAUGGAGAGCUUGCUCUCUGAUGACGAGUGGCAAACGGGUGAGUAACGCGUAGGAACUUUCUUUAAGUGGGAGAUAGCUAAUCGAAAGGUUAGGUAAUACCCCAUGUGGAGGCAACUCUAAAGACUUCGGUCGCUUAAAGUGAGGCCUGCGUCCCAUCAGCUAGUUGGUAAGGUAAAGGCUUACCAAGGCUAAGACGGGUAGCUGGUCUGAGAGGACGAUCAGCCACACUGGAACUGCGACACGGUCCAGACGUCUACGGACGGCAGCAGUGAGGAAUAUUGCGCAAUGGGGGAAACCCUGACGCAGCAAUGCCGCGUGGAGGAUGAAGGCCCUAUGGGUCGUAAACUCCUGUGGAGAUCUACUAAUUUUGAAGAGAUCUCUAGAAAGAGGUUGCUAACUCUG
This 448-nucleotide ribosomal RNA is filed under the name uncultured bacterium. RNAcentral describes it as "bacterial SSU rRNA". It matches the Rfam family "Bacterial small subunit ribosomal RNA", at positions 28 to 505 of the family's 1533-position model. The record is from RNAcentral.